This 301-nucleotide ribosomal RNA is filed under the name uncultured bacterium. Its description in RNAcentral is "partial 16S ribosomal RNA". It matches the Rfam family "Bacterial small subunit ribosomal RNA", at positions 509 to 807 of the family's 1533-position model. The record is from RNAcentral.
CAGUCGCCGCGGUAAAACGAAGGGUGCAAGCGUUACUCGGAAUUACUGGGCGUAAAGCGUGCGUAGGUGGUUGUUUAAGUCUGCUGUGAAAGCCCUGGGCUCAACCUGGAAAUUGCAGUGGAUACUGGGCAACUAGAGUAAGGUAGAGGAUAGUGGAAUUUCCGGUGUAGCAGUGAAAUGCGUAGAGAUCGGAAGGAACAUCUGUGGCGAAGGCGACUAUCUGGGCCAUUACUGACACUGAGGCACGAAAGCGUGGGGAGCAAACAGGAUUAGAUACCCCAGUAGUCCCUGUCUCUUAUAC